AUUUUGUUCCGAGCAAUUUCGGGCGAGAUCUCGUGGCGGCACCAACUCUCCCGGUCAUCAUUUACGGACCUUUAUUUGCCUGGGAUCGGGGCCCGUGAGAAGCAGCUACAAUACCAUCGCCAUUUCGAAUUCUCCGGUAGCCGAAACUGACGCAGGUUUAGACUUUACAGCCUACCACUUCAGAGACGAACCCGAGAUCGAGUCUCCCGCAGAGAGCAGAGCGGAGAGAGACGAGAGAGAGAGAGAGAGAGAGAGAGCGAGCUCAAUCAAGAGUCAAGCCCUAACAUCGAUGGGCUCCGGCGCCGCCGCGGCCGAGGUGAUCGAGCUCUCCAGCGAGGACGAGGAGCCCGUCCCCGUCCCCAGAGCCGGCGCCGGCGCCGGCGCGCUCGCCCUCGCCCGCCGCGCCCCGUCCUCCCCGCCCGACGUCAAGCCGCGCCUGCUCGCCGGUGCCGAUGUGAAGCCGCUGCCGCUCCUCCCGCCGCUCCUCCCGCCGCUCCACCACCCCCCGGGCUACGGCGCGCUCGUGCCCGUCAAGGCCGAGGAGCCCGCGCCCGUGCCGGUGCCCGUGGCCACCGCCUCCCCGCCGCCCAGGGCGCUCCCGCCGCCGCGCCUCGGCCGCCAGUUCUGGAAGUCCGGCGACUACGUCGUCGCGCGCCGCAACCCCGACGCCGACGCCCCAGGUGGGCGGAACCGGCUGCGGAUAAAUCCCAAGUUCCUGCACUCAAAUGCCACUUCCCACAAGUGGGCUUUCGGCGCUGUUGCUGAGCUUCUUGAUAAUGCCAUCGAUGAGAUGAACAAUGGGGCAACAUUUGUACGUGUUAAUAAAUUUACAAACCCACGGGAUGGGAACCCAUCAUUGUUGGUUCAAGAUAAUGGAGGGGGAAUGGAUCCAGAGGCGCUGAGACGUUGCAUGAGCUUUGGAUUUUCGGAUAAGCAGUCUGAUGCUUUCAUUGGGCAAUAUGGAAAUGGUUUCAAGACAAGCACAAUGCGGCUAGGAGCGGAUGUGAUUGUUUUUACACAAAACCAAAAUAACCAGUCACGGACAAGAAGUAUCGGCCUUCUUUCUUAUACAUUUUUGAUGGAAACAGGUUGCGAUGAUGUAUUGGUGCCAACGGUGGACUAUCAGUACGAUCCAGUAACUGCUUCAUUUACUCAGAUGUUGCGGCAUGAUCAGAGGCUCUUCUCAUCUAAUUUGUCAAUCCUCCUGAAAUGGUCCCCGUUUGCCAGUGAAGCUGAGUUGCUUAAACAAUUUGAUGAUAUGGGAGAGCAUGGAACAAAGAUAAUUGUAUUCAACCUCUGGUUCAACGAUGAUGGGGAUAUGGAGCUUGAUUUCAACUCCGAUAAGAAGGAUAUCCUCAUAACUGGGGCACACAAGAAGAAGGUAACACAUAAUUUGGAGAAGGUCACAACACAGAACUACGUUUCAACUCGACUUCGUUAUUCUCUUAGAGCAUAUGCAUCUAUCUUGUAUCUUCGAGUAUCUGAUAAUUUCAGAAUUAUCCUGCGUGAAUGUGAUGUGGAACCACAUAAUAUAGUUAAUGAUUUGAUGUACCGUGAGUGCGUGUUGUAUAAACCACAGAUUGCUGGACUUACAGAGCCAUCUGUAAUCACGACCAUUGGGUUUGUCAAAGGUGCACCAGACAUUGAUGUACAAGGGUUUAACGUAUAUCACAAAAACCGUUUAAUAAUGCCCUUCUGGAAAGUUGCAAACAACUCAUAUGGGAAAGGGCGAGGAGUUGUUGGCAUUCUGGAGGCGAACUUCAUCAAACCUACCCAUGACAAGCAGGAUUUCGAGAAGUCAGUCAUGUAUCAAAGGCUUGAGAUUCGCUUGAAAGAAAUGACUUAUGAAUACUGGGACCUUCAUUGCCAUCGUGUUGGUUAUGACAACAAAAAAUUAUCUAAAGCAACCCGUGCACUUAAUCGUGCCAGUCAUAUGAAUGCUGGCAGUUCCCCAAUAAGUGCUCCGCCUCGGUUGUUUGCAGCUGAUGUUCCAACAAGCAGCUGUGCUAUACCUAGAUUAUCAGCUUCUGCAGCAAGGGAAAGGAUCAAUAAUUUUGAGUCCCUUCCAAAGAGCAAGACGGGAUUGAAGAGAAAGUUUGAUUCCUCUGAUGCUAUGACAGACAGUGCUGAUCGAGAUGGGUUAGAUCAUACGGACAGAGUUAAUCAGGAUGUUUCCCAACGAAAACGGUUUAAUGAAUACAGGACUUUGACCCUGGAGAAUGACAAGUUGCGUAAUGAAUGCUUACAAUAUGAGGAAUCAGAGAAACAGCUUGUCCUGAAGGAACAAAAGCUCCGGUCUCAGAUUGAAGAGGCAAGAAAGAAAUAUCAGGAAUUGUCAGAAGAGCUUAGAUCAUUGGAUGUGAAGAAAGAGAAAUAGUUAACAAUUUUCUCCACUUCUCCACCUGGAUGAUUGCUCCUCUUGCUUUUUGCCUGACUUUUGAAGAUUUUGACCAGCUUCCUGUUCGAGACCUGCAGUGGUGAUUAUGGGAAGAAAUGUUCCCAUGGAUAACCGAUAUCUUCUGAUUACCAUUCACUUGGUACUUGGUGGAGAUGUACAAUUUUGUGUCACUAACCUUUGUAGGGCUCCGUGAUGAUAGAAAGCGAGCAUGCAUUAUGUUGUAGAAGUAUGUAACAUUUAUUGGGCUAUACAGCAGCGGUUUCAUGACAAUGACCUGCUGUUUCCCACAUCAGUACAUCUUGGUCUGUGUCAAAUCAAAUGAGGUACAGCGCAAUGUAACUUGUACAUGCGACUUGUCGUGGGUCAUGAGGGGUCAAGCCAAUGGUUCAUCACUCACCAUAUGUUUGUAGCUACAGUGCAAUGUAACUUGUACAUGUGAUGGACUGAUGGUGUAUCGGCUACCUGGUUUCUAUAAAUUAGGAGGGUUAUGGAUGUGUCCAUUUA
This is an RNA transcript of Phragmites australis (common reed), 2902 nucleotides long. It is a transcript of the gene named protein MICRORCHIDIA 6-like, with no coding region annotated. The transcript has 20 exons. Lineage: Eukaryota; Viridiplantae; Streptophyta; Magnoliopsida; Poales; Poaceae. The record is from RefSeq and is a predicted model, not a curated record.